This is a long non-coding RNA of Felis catus (domestic cat), 4264 nucleotides long. RefSeq lists it as uncharacterized. The record is from RefSeq and is a predicted model, not a curated record. NCBI's taxonomy places the organism in Eukaryota, Metazoa, Chordata, Mammalia, Carnivora, Felidae. The transcript has 3 exons.
GUCACUGGAAAAACACAAAUAUACAGAUGUAGAUUCAUUGGCAUGAAAUAUUUAAAAUUUUUCAACAAAAGAAUUUCAUGAUUUUUUGCCAUAAUUAGUAUUUAAUAUUAUGUUUAUAUAUUAUAAAUUACAUUUUAUGUAUUAUAUAUAAUAUAUACAUAUAUAUAAUUAAGGAGUAUAAUCAUUAAGAUGGCCUUAUUUUCAUUCCAUAUCCAAAGUUCAUGCCAUAAAACAAUUAUUACAUGUUUCGUUGAUCCUGACCAAGUUGGUUCAGAUUAAAACCUAGAGUCUUAUGAUUGUCAUGCUACCUUCAUAAAGAUAAGGGUGUGUUCUUGUGUCUGACUUUUAAAGGAGGGUAAGCAAAUUUUAAAAAAUGAAAACACACAAAAUUCUUAGUUGUUCAUCAGAAAAUAUUUUCCACCCGCCAAAUAGCUGUCAAGUAACUGACAUGAAUGGAUUAAUAAAUUGAAGUACCAUCUUAGAUUCAUAAUAAAUGUCUAUAAAUGUGGUUUUAACAUUUACAAUAGCUCUUGUGUGUGUCAAACGUUUUAACUGUUGCAGUUUUACAGCAGAAGAACAUUUGCCUUUGAGGUCAAAUUAGAGUUCAAGUUCUGCUCUGUCACUUGCAACUCGUGUGAUCUUGGACAAGUUGUCUAAACCUCAGUGUCUUGGUCCCUAACUCUGUAAAAUAAAAACUACAAUCCCUUCCUCUGACUGGGCUUUUGUAAAGACAUAAUGAGAUCAUGACACGCUAGAAAUGCUAGUUGUGUUAAUUAUUCCCCCCACCCACUGAUGUGGGGGUUCAUGUCCUACAGGCAAUCAUGUUCUGUUUCAUGCUUAGAGAAUGUAUCCCCAGGGAAAGAGAAGGUAUUGUAAGGACUGUGAAAAUUCAAAGCUAUGAAUCUUAUAAAUCUUUUAGUCUAGAGUUUAUUCCUAGGGAAAGUGAAAAUUUAUAAAAAUGAUGAAAAAUUGAGCAUGCAUGUUUUAUAACUUGUCAAUCUGAAAUUGGGAUAGGGAUGAAUAGGGAUGAAAGCCAUGUACAAUAUAAAGAAUUUUGGGGACUAAAUGUGAAUACCUAUUUAUUCUGGAGCUGAUUCUUCUUUCCCAAAGAGCUUUGCAAGUUUCCCUGUUUUCAUAUAUGUCUAUCUCUAUAUCCAUCUAUAAUAUUGUGAACAUUAAGUGAGUUAAGAACACAGAUGUCCUAGAAAUCUCUCUAGCAUAUUUUAAGUGCUAAAUAAAUAUUGGCCCCUUUCUUGUAAAUACUCUCUGGGCGCUCUCUGGAGUAGAUGGAAAUAGUUUUUAGAAAAUAGUCAUACCAGGGAACAAACUAUUUUUUCACUGUGUCAUUCACCUGGGCACGAGGGCAUUAGUGGAAUGAAUAAGUGUUUGAGUCUAGUCCAAACUUGGGCCAGAAUGAGUUGAAAACAUUCCUAUGUGGAUGAACUCCCUCAUAUCUUCACAGGUCAUGCAGCCACUGGUACCUUGCCCCAUCUCAUCUCAGGAUGAACUUCCAGGACUAAGGAUUUUUACAACGACUUCUCUAAUAGGAAUACCUUAAUCUAGCCAGCAUGAAUGUGUUGUCAGCGGUUCAGAUGGGAGCAAGUAUGAAUCACAUUUCCUAGGUAAUGCACAUGUAUGCGGAGAAACAAAAAAUCAGUGACUUCCACCAAGAAAAGCAGCGCGGCUGAUGCAUAUUACGGAAGCUUCUGACUAAAGUCUUUAAGAUGAACUGAGCAUGUGAACUUCUUCAUAAGAUUGUAACAGAUAAAAUGAACCCAGUUCUUGUUUCUGUAAGUAGAAUAUAAAUUUUCAUUUUAUUUCCCCCACGUGAGGUUUGAUAUUUUGAGCUCACAGGCAUACAUUCCGGGAAAAGGAUCCUUAGAAUAAAAUACCUUUACUGAGGAGAUGUUCGUGACGUUUCUCAUCAAAUAAGGAGAGUAACACCUCUUUUUGUUUCCGAAAUUCAGCCAUCUGUUCCUCCUUUUCCUCCGAUUCUUCCUUAGCCUUUAGGAGAAAUAUUGCAUUAAUAUUCCCAAGAGAGAUCAUAGAUUCUUAUUUUGGAAAACAUCUUUUGUGAGAGAUAGACUCACCAGGAGCAGAAAGGGUAUACUUGGAAAACUUACCGUAACAUCUAAUAUCACAACAAAUUAUGACAUGGGUUUUCUUGACACUCACUGGUUCUAUCGUUUUAUUUAAGUUUACGUGAUUUGUUAACCUCAUGAGAGAUUUUCAUCAAUAUCAUGAGAAAUGGACUCAGAUUGGGCAAAACCGGAAUGAAAGUGAAGCAAAGGGAGGUGAAGUAACAGAAGAAGUUCGAUGUUACAGUUAUUAAGAGGUGAAGGUGGGACUUGAACCCAUACAAUGAGAUGUCAACGUCCCUGCUGUAAGCACUACCUGAUAUAGCUUCUCCAGAUACAGCCUCUCCAGACAUAGAAUUGAAAUAAUUCUUUCAAGAAAUUUAGUAAUGAAGAGAGGACGGUGGCGGAGGGGCUGUAGCUUGAGGGAAAUGAGGAAUCAACAGUAUCUUUCUCAAGUGAAAGAAAUUUGUAACUGACAGCAGUUAAGAAGGACCCAGGAUAUCUUUGGUUGACCGGUCUUUUGUGAGCCUGCUUCUGUCUAGAAUUGGUCAUGAUAUGAAAUUUUUGAUAGGAAUAAAAAAGGUCUAUUAAUCUUAUAUAUUUAUCAAACACAAAAUCUUGCCCAGAAUGAACUUAUUACUUGAAUUUCUAUUGUACAUAAAUAAAAUAAAAUCAACCAUGUAAUCUAUUUUGUGUAGAUGCAUUUGUGAAAGAAAAAGAAUAUAAGAAAAAUGAACGUUUAAAAGAAAAUUAGGGAUUUGUUAAAUAAAAUUUUCAAUACUUCAUCUGUAGUAAAUAUAUUUACUUGUGGCAUCAUAAGUACCUGAAUUCUUGUGAAUUCUUCUUCCAGGCCCUUGAGAAUGUUGUUUUCAAGCUUUCCCCAGAAGUUAAAUCCAUGUGGCUCUAAACCUGGUGUUCUUUCCAGCCACGCCUGAAGUAUUAUUUUUUUUAAGUAAAUAUAUUAUAAAAUUUCAAAUAUAUAAAAUACAUUGUACUUAACAUCUAUGAACUUGAAAUAGGAAGUAUGUCAUAAGUUUUUUUGUAUAUAAAUAUUUCUCUUUCCCUUAAAUUUAUUCAUUUAAUGAAUAGCAAUUUAUUACAUUUCCUUUCUUAAUCUUUGAAGCAAUCAUAUUAAUAAUAUUUACUCUGUAUUUAUUAAGAAAUGUGUUAUUACAGAAAUUCCAAUUUUGUUCUAUAAGUCUAUGAACAUAUCUAAAUGUUGUUUUAAUGAAGUCUUCUGGUUUAUUCUCGAAAUACCUUAUGUCUUAGGAUAUGAAGGAAUUAUGACAUGCAUAUCAUAUGAUCUCUUCUAAAUGUAGGAGCAUGGUAUCUAGGCAACUUUGAAAUCUGAAAUCAACUAAACACUCAGUUAUUUUAAGAGUCCACAAACCUUUUUUUUUUUUUUUACAAACACAAGAGUUUUUAAUGUAGAAAUGAAACAAAAUUUGUGCACCUAUGGAUUCUCAUCUGACCUAUUUUUGGUUUUGAAAUUAACUUUGUGACUCUUUCCCUCCGUAUCUUUAUGAGCUGUUAUUUGGAGUUAUAUAUACUAUAUUAACCCAAGUCCACAUUUACAAUACCCAGGGGAUCCGUGUGCAAAGUAUAAGUCACUAAAAGAAAUAUUUAAUUUGCAAAGGAAAAACCCUUGUGAAGGAAAUCAAGACCAUAUAAUCUUUAUUUAAUAAUUUACUUGUGAAAAAACAGUAAUCCCUCAAGACCUUUUAUAGACCCAUGGGGAAUUAAGAUAUGAAAGGAACAAAUUCUGAAGAUUAUACUCUUAGUAAUUUAGUUUAAUUGAGAAAAACACACAACUUGUGGAACUUUUCAAUAAUGGAAUAUUUUAGAGACUAAAGCUCACUGAAUAAUUAACUACACUCGGUGUUAAAAUCAGCUAGUUAAAUGUUGUUUAGCAGGGUUGUUUAAAGGAAUUGUUUUAUAAGAUAAGAAGGUGAUUAAAUAUUAACACAGAGUUGUUAUAUAAAUAUUUCUGAAAUUCUCAAGGGAGUUCUUAAUAGUUUAAAUAUUUCAAUUACUUGAGUUGAAGCAUUCCUUUAAAGUCUUUCUGUUCUUAUUUACCAUGAAUGUGACAAAACCUUUGAGUUUUAAAACUUCGAUGUAGCAGAAGCACAAUUAACAAGAUGUGGGGAGUGAGACUUUAGAGACAGUAUUUGAGCAUGUACCUCCAC